This 881-nucleotide ribosomal RNA is filed under the name uncultured organism. Its description in RNAcentral is "bacterial SSU rRNA". It matches the Rfam family "Bacterial small subunit ribosomal RNA", at positions 601 to 1495 of the family's 1533-position model. The record is from RNAcentral.
UCGGUUGCUCAACGAUCGAAUUGCCUUUGAAACUGUCAGGCUCGAGUAUGGAUGCGGUAGNCGGAAUGUGUAGUGUAGCGGUGAAAUGCAUAGAUAUUACACAGAACACCGAUUGCGAAGGCAGCUUACCAAACCAGCACUGACGCUGAAGCACGAAAGCGUGGGGAGCGAACAGGAUUAGAUACCCUGGUAGUCCACGCCGUAAACUUUGCUCACUCGCUGUUGGCGAUAGACAGUCAGCGGCCAAGGGAAACCGAUAAGUGAGCCACCUGGGGAGUACGGCCGCAAGGUUGAAACUCAAAGGAAUUGACGGGGGCCCGCACAAGCGGUGGAACAUGUGGUUUAAUUCGAUGAUACGCGAGGAACCUUACCUGGGCUUAAAUGUGAAGUGCAUUGAUUGGAAACAAUCAUUUCCUUCGGGACCCUUUACAAGGUGCUGCAUGGUUGUCGUCAGCUCGUGCCGUGAGGUGUCGGGUUAAGUCCCAUAACGAGCGCAACCCCUAUUGUUAGUUACCAGCGCGUGAUGGCGGGGACUCUAGCGAAACUGCCGGUGUAAACCGCGAGGAAGGUGGGGAUGACGUCAAAUCAGCACGGCCCUUAUGUCCAGGGCUACACACGUGUUACAAUGGCCGGUACAGCGGGCAGCUAGGCAGCGAUGUCAUGCUAAUCCCGAAAGCCGGUCCCAGUUCGGAUUGGAGUCUGCAACCCGACUCCAUGAAGGUGGAAUCGCUAGUAAUCGCGCAUCAGCCAUGGCGCGGUGAAUACGUUCCCGGGCAUUGUACACACCGCCCGUCAAGCCAUGGAAGUCUGGGGUGCAUGAAGGCCGUAACCGCAAGGAGCGGUCUAGGGUAAACAGAUGACUGGGGCUAAGUCGUCACAAG